Apis mellifera (honey bee) is the source of this 413-nucleotide long non-coding RNA. RefSeq lists it as uncharacterized. The transcript has 2 exons. Lineage: Eukaryota; Metazoa; Arthropoda; Insecta; Hymenoptera; Apidae. The record is from RefSeq and is a predicted model, not a curated record.
AAUAAUCGGGCAGCGAGAGAUUCAGCUUGACUACAUUUUCCCCACGGGGAUAAACCACCAAAUAAUAUUCUAAAUAAUUCAAAAUCUAUUUUAUAUGCUUCAUAAGGAGGCUGUGUUGGAUCAUAACGAUCAGGAGUAGCACUAUCAACUGGUCUAGGAAGUAUAAGUCCCUCAUCAUUGUAUACACCUCCAAGAUAAUCUGUUAAUAACUGCAUUGCUUCACCAUCGUCACGGCAAUUUAAUAAUUUAUCUUGGUUCCACUCCAGUACUGUCAAUGCUAUCUGACACAGGAAGAAAGACCUGUUUACUUCAAAUUUCUUCUGUACGUAAUUUAUUCUGUAUUUAUUAGAAAGAAUGUCAAUAAAAUUCAAUAUUUUGACUAAUAAAAAAUAAUUAAGGAGCUAAAAAUAAAA